Anolis sagrei ordinatus is the source of this 76-nucleotide small nucleolar RNA. RefSeq annotates it as small nucleolar RNA SNORD49. The record is from RefSeq and is a predicted model, not a curated record. Lineage: Eukaryota; Metazoa; Chordata; Lepidosauria; Squamata; Anolidae.
CGGAGUGAUGAUGCCGAGAGAAUUAGGAAGUGCCGUCAGAUGCGAGAACUGACGAGACUGCCAUCUCCGUCUGACC